Molecule: long non-coding RNA, 621 nt
Organism: Lactuca sativa (garden lettuce)
Lineage: Eukaryota; Viridiplantae; Streptophyta; Magnoliopsida; Asterales; Asteraceae
Source: RefSeq, a predicted model, not a curated record
UUAUCCAGUAGCCUACCCUUUCUUCUUAGUGUACAUAACGUGGGGUACCUUCUUUCUGUACCCAUUUUUUUUAUCGAUCAUUCUGUACAAGAAUGAAAGGAAAAGCUUCGUGGAAGAGGUCAGGGGCUGAAAAAUCGUUGAUUAAUCACAGGGCUUAAUCAUAUGAUGAGCCUGAUGAAGAAGAAUAUGUUCCUUCUUCUAUGGACAAGACAAUAUGUGAAAGGACAAGGGCAUUGGCAUUUGCACUAGUUGAUGGCAAGUAAAGUUGACUGAUCUCUAUGCUCGUAUAUGGGAUUAUGGUAAUGAAGUUUUGAGAUCAAACCGAUGAAGCACUGUUGAAAUUGGAGUGGAUGUCAAUCCGGAUGCAAAACAGACCUUAUGGUCAUUUUUGUACACUUUUUUAACAAAGUUAUAUCCGUGCAAAGCUCAAACCAAAAAGGCCAUCUGAAAGGAAUGGAGGCGGAUCUACAUAGGACAAACCUGUUAAUCUAGAAUACUAGCUUUAGGAACUAGAAUGGGACAAAAAUCUAGUCUUUUGUGAUGAUUUUGAUACUUGGAAUUCAAUAUUCCUAGUCUUUUGUUACUAAAAUUGAGUUAGUAUUAAUGAAAUUGUUGAUUUUA